Long non-coding RNA from Mustela erminea (ermine), 692 nucleotides. RefSeq lists it as uncharacterized. Lineage: Eukaryota; Metazoa; Chordata; Mammalia; Carnivora; Mustelidae. The record is from RefSeq and is a predicted model, not a curated record. The transcript has 4 exons.
CGGCGAGGAGGGGGCGCGCUUCCGGGUUUCAGACGAGGCGGAGGCGAGGGCGCGGGGCGGGAGGGGCCUGAGGUUUUCCGCGAAGCAGGUGCGUCGGCGGGCAGCGCUCGCCGAGGUUCUGAGUUUAGCUCCUGGGUUGGGAUAGGGGAAGGCGCUAAUCGAUUACAGAAGUCCCCUGCCGAGAUCGCGGGCUCGGGGCGCGACACUGACAAAUCGGGGAGCCUGCUCCAGUGUGCGAAGAAAUGCUAAUGAGAGACGUGACCCAAGAGGUCCCAAGGGAGCAAACCUGAAAGCCCAGCGCCUCUUGAACACACAGAGGGCGAGAUGAUAUUAGCCACUGUUUCCAGAUAGAAGAAGCAUCGCUUCCUCCAGCAGAUUGAUAGAUGAAGCGUAAAACAGGACCAGAUGCUGUGGUUUCCAGGAUGCAGUUGGCUUCCCAUGCUUUAUGACCUGGAGCACUUAUUGCUAAGUCUGUAAGGACAAAGAUUCCUUCCCAUCUCCACAAUAUUUGCAUGAAGACUUCACCUCUCGAGGUUCUAACCAUAGCCUCUUGUCUGGCAGUGUUUCCACUGACUGGUGAAGAGAUCAUGCCUCUCUCUUUGACCUCUUGCUUCUCUCAUUCUCAAUCUUAAUACAGCCCUCUGGCUGACUUUUACUGAUUAGUAGUCAAUAAACCAUUUUUGAUAGUUAUA